GGGCUCGUGGUUUAGUGGUAUAAUACUCCCUUAGCAUGAUUUAUUAAAAUUGGGAGUGGUCCGGGGUUCGAUUCCCCGCGAGUCCA
This 86-nucleotide transfer RNA is filed under the name Erysiphe necator (grape powdery mildew). It matches the Rfam family "tRNA". Rfam says of the family: Transfer RNA (tRNA) molecules are approximately 80 nucleotides in length. Their secondary structure includes four short double-helical elements and three loops (D, anti-codon, and T loops). Further hydrogen bonds mediate the characteristic L-shaped molecular structure. tRNAs have two regions of fundamental functional importance: the anti-codon, which is responsible for specific mRNA codon recognition, and the 3' end, to which the tRNAs corresponding amino acid is attached (by aminoacyl-tRNA synthetases). tRNAs cope with the degeneracy of the genetic code in two manners: having more than one tRNA (with a specific anti-codon) for a particular amino acid; and 'wobble' base-pairing, i.e. permitting non-standard base-pairing at the 3rd anti-codon position. The record is from Rfam by way of RNAcentral. Lineage: Eukaryota; Fungi; Ascomycota; Leotiomycetes; Helotiales; Erysiphaceae.